GAUGAAGAACGUAGCGAAAUGCGAUAAGUAAUGUGAAUUGCAGAAUUCAGUGAAUCAUCGAAUCUUUGAACGCACAUUGCGCCCGCCAGUAUUCUGGCGGGCAUGCCUGUUCGAGCGUCAUUUCAACCCUCAAGCCCCGGCUUGGUGUUGGGGAUCGGCACAAGGACGCCCCCGGGCGACCCGCCGUCCCCUAAAUUCAGUGGCGGUCCCGCCGCAGCCACCUCUGCGUAGUAGCUUGCACACUCGCACCGGAGAGCGGCGCGGCCACGCCGUAAAACCCCCCGACCACGGAGCCCCGGCUCCUGAACGUUGACCUCGGAUCAGGUAGGAAUACCCGCUGAACUUAAGCAUAUCAAUAAGCGGAGGA
RNAcentral lists this unclassified non-coding RNA (367 nucleotides) under soil metagenome. RNAcentral's name for it is "partial contains 5.8S ribosomal RNA, internal transcribed spacer 2, and large subunit ribosomal RNA". The stretch from base 1 to 120 matches the Rfam family "5.8S ribosomal RNA", at positions 35 to 154 of the family's 154-position model. The record is from RNAcentral.